CCUACGGGAGGCAGCAGUGAGGAAUAUUGGUCAAUGGGCGGGAGCCUGAACCAGCCAAGCCGCGUGAGGGAAGAAGGUACAGCGUAUCGUAAACCUCUUUUGUCAGGGAACAAAGGCGGGGACUAGUCCCCGGAUGAGGGUACCUGAAGAAAAAGCAUCGGCUAACUCCGUGCCAGCAGCCGCGGUAAUACGGAGGAUGCGAGCGUUAUCCGGAUUUAUUGGGUUAAAGGGGUGCGCAGGCGGCCUGUUAAGUCAGCGGUAAAAGCCCGGGGCUCAACCCCGGCGAGCCGUUGAAACUGGCGGGCUGGAGUUGGAGAGAAGUACGCGGAAUGCGCGGUGUAGCGGUGAAAUGCUUAGAUAUCGCGAAGAACCCUGAUUGCGAAGGCAGCGUACCGGCUCCACACUGACGCUGAGGCACGAAAGCGAGGGUAGCGAACAGGAUUAGAUACCCUUGUAGUC
RNAcentral lists this ribosomal RNA (459 nucleotides) under uncultured bacterium. RNAcentral's name for it is "partial 16S ribosomal RNA". It matches the Rfam family "Bacterial small subunit ribosomal RNA", at positions 338 to 795 of the family's 1533-position model. The record is from RNAcentral.